GUGCAUAAUUACAGGAGUUCAUACUAUAAUUUUGACUUUACAUAAUAUAGAUAUCCCGUAUGUUUGUUUCGUUUCGACGUUAGUGAUUUCAAUAUGUACGUCAUGUUCUUUAGUUCAGGUGUUUUUCAUAUGCCUAGAACGAUAUCUGGCAAUGCAGUCUGUCUCCAAACGUAAAAGAGGGACGCAUAGUCUUACUUGUGUGUAUGUAAUCCCAAUUAUAGGUAUCAUUCUCUACAACAGC
RNAcentral lists this long non-coding RNA (241 nucleotides) under Mytilus galloprovincialis (Mediterranean mussel). Lineage: Eukaryota; Metazoa; Mollusca; Bivalvia; Mytilida; Mytilidae. The record is from RNAcentral.